This is a long non-coding RNA of Lontra canadensis (Northern American river otter), 333 nucleotides long. RefSeq lists it as uncharacterized. The transcript has 2 exons. NCBI's taxonomy places the organism in Eukaryota, Metazoa, Chordata, Mammalia, Carnivora, Mustelidae. The record is from RefSeq and is a predicted model, not a curated record.
GUAAAUUAAACAGGGGCACCUGGCUGGCUCAGUGGGUCAUUUGAUUUUUGAUGAGGGUGCCAAGACAUUUCAAUGGAGAAAGAGUAGUCUUUUCAACAAAGGGCAAAGGGUGUUGGGACAACUAGAUAUCCAUGUACGUGGUAAGAAAUUAGACCCCCUACUUCAUCUUGUACACAAAAAAUAAAUGUUCCGGUGACAUGGAUAUAGGAGCUGGAACCGUGAAACUCAGAGAAGGAAACAUAGGAAUAGGUUUUUGUGACUGUGGACUAGGCAGUGCUUUCUUCGACAUGACACCUAGAGCAGAAACAAUAAAAGAUUAAGAAGACUUCAUCA